UUGCUUUGGCUAAAGACUUUCUGAACUCAGCCUCGUAAAUCGCAUAGGACUUCUCUUUUUCUAUCAAGAUCGAUAGAUUCUAUCUAGGUGCAUCCUACUCCAAACAGUGAACUUGAACCUACUGAAGCCAAUAUAUACAGCAAAGACCGGAAUGGCUAGGAACCAAGAGAAGGUGCAGUCAAACUCAGUAGCCACGCUGCGAAUAGCCAAUGACACUGUAGGUGAAAGGACCACUCACACCACUGCAGCAUCGAGAAGACCACUGACGAGUGAGUAGACAUCUAUGUGAUUUCUCAUGUUGGCCAGGCUUAGUGUAAGUUGUUCUCUAACAACCACCCACAUCCUCACCCCAUUGUCCCUACACUGUAGAGCCGAGACUCAUCUGCCCGUAAGGGAGGUGAACUAUGCACCGAUCUCGAAUGGAUUGAUCACUAUCCUCCAAGACGAUCUUUUGAUCAGGAGUAUUUAAAAAUUAACCACUAAUUAAUGUAUGUCUCAAAUUCUCAAUACUUUGAGAAUAUAUAAAAAUCAUCUUUGUUAAUUUUUAUGAUAAAUCAUGGAUACAUAAACAUGAUUGGUAUGAAAAACUCUUUAUUGAUAAUAAAAAUAUUACAAGUACAAGAUUA
Molecule: long non-coding RNA, 626 nt
Filed under: Elaeis guineensis (African oil palm)
Lineage: Eukaryota; Viridiplantae; Streptophyta; Magnoliopsida; Arecales; Arecaceae
Description: long non-coding RNA (EGUI_LNC040672)
Source: RNAcentral